RNAcentral lists this ribosomal RNA (228 nucleotides) under uncultured bacterium. RNAcentral describes it as "partial 16S ribosomal RNA". It matches the Rfam family "Bacterial small subunit ribosomal RNA", at positions 568 to 796 of the family's 1533-position model. The record is from RNAcentral.
UCCGUAGGCGGGCAAUUAAGUCAGAGGUGAAAUCCCACAGCUCAACUGUGGAACUGCCUUUGAUACUGGUUGUCUUGAGUUAUAGUGAAGUAGAUAGAAUAUGUAGUGUAGCGGUGAAAUGCAUAGAUAUUACAUAGAAUACCGAUUGCGAAGGCAGUCUACUAACUGUAUACUGACGCUAAUGGACGAAAGCGUGGGGAGCGAACAGGAUUAGAUACCCUGUAGUCC